Molecule: ribosomal RNA, 397 nt
Filed under: uncultured bacterium
Lineage: Bacteria
Description: partial 16S ribosomal RNA
Rfam family: Bacterial small subunit ribosomal RNA
Source: RNAcentral
AUACGUAGGGGGCGAGCGUUGUCCGGAAUGAUUGGGCGUAAAGGGUGCGUAGGCGGCCCGGUAAGUCUGGAGUGAAAGUCCUGCUUUUAAGGUGGGAAUUGCUUUGGAUACUGUCGGGCUUGAGUGCAGGAGAGGUAAGUGGAAUUCCCAGUGUAGCGGUGAAAUGCGUAGAGAUUGGGAGGAACACCAGUGGCGAAGGCGACUUACUGGACUGUAACUGACGCUGAGGCGCGAAAGUGUGGGGAGCAAACAGGAUUAGAUACCCUGGUAGUCCACACUGUAAACGAUGAAUGCUAGGUGUAGGGGGUAUCGACCCCUUCUGUGCCGCAGUUAACACAAUAAGCAUUCCGCCUGGGGAGUACGGCCGCAAGGUUGAAACUCAAAUGAAUUGACGGGG